AGCGAACGCUGGCGGCAGGCCUAAUACAUGCAAGUCGAACGGAUCCUUCGGGAUUAGUGGCGGACGGGUGAGUAACACGUGGGAACGUGCCCUUUGGUUCGGAACAACUCAGGGAAACUUGAGCUAAUACCGGAUAAGCCCUUCGGGGGAAGGAUUUAUCGCCAUUGGAGCGGCCCGCGUCUGAUUAGCUAGUUGGUGGGGUAAAGGCCUACCAAGGCGACGAUCAGUAGCUGGUCUGAGAGGAUGAUCAGCCACACUGGGACUGAGACACGGCCCAGACUCCUACGGGAGGCAGCAGUAGGGAAUCUUGCGCAAUGGGCGAAAGCCUGACGCAGCCAUGCCGCGUGAAUGAUGAAGGUCUUAGGAUUGU
This 370-nucleotide ribosomal RNA is filed under the name uncultured bacterium. RNAcentral's name for it is "bacterial SSU rRNA". It matches the Rfam family "Bacterial small subunit ribosomal RNA", at positions 29 to 426 of the family's 1533-position model. The record is from RNAcentral.